Molecule: unclassified non-coding RNA, 328 nt
Organism: Mustela putorius furo (domestic ferret)
Lineage: Eukaryota; Metazoa; Chordata; Mammalia; Carnivora; Mustelidae
Gene: 7SK
Rfam family: 7SK RNA
About the family: 7SK was discovered as an abundant small nuclear RNA in the mid-70s but a possible function has only recently been suggested. Two independent studies have found that 7SK RNA binds the CDK9/cyclin T complex (known as elongation factor P-TEFb).
Source: Ensembl
GGAUGUGAGGGCGAUCUGGCUGUGACAUCUGUCACCCCAUUGAUCGCCAGUGUUGAUUCGGCUGAUCUGGCUGGCUAGGCGGGUGUCCCUUCCUCCCUCACCGCUCCAUGUGCGUCCCUCCCGAAGCUGCAUGCUCGGUCGAAGAGGACGACCUUCCCCGAUAGAGGAGAGGACCGUUCUUUGGUCAAGGGUAUACGAGUAGCUGCGCUCCCCUGCUAGAACCUCCAAACAAGCUCUCAAAUAAGCCAUUCAUACUUUGGCCAUUUUCUGCUUGAAAUCACCACCCUGAAAUCAAGAGCUGCAUGCUCUACUGACCAAGCCAGCCAGG